AAGGAUAUCCCAAAAUCUUAGCACUGAUGUAUUCAAUGAGUUUAUAGCCUUGUCCAAUAAGCCAAGGUAAUUAUUGAAAUUUCAUCGUGAUAGUGAUAGAUCAUUGCAAUUGUUAGUUUUCAACGAGGAAUUCAUAGUAAGCACGAGUCAGCAGCUCGCGUUGACUAUGUCCUUGCCCUU
Non-coding RNA from Gossypium hirsutum (cotton), 180 nucleotides. Lineage: Eukaryota; Viridiplantae; Streptophyta; Magnoliopsida; Malvales; Malvaceae. The record is from Rfam.